AACGAACGCUGGCGGCGUGCUUAACACAUGCAAGUCGAACGGAAAGGCCCUGCUUUUGUGGGGGGCUCGAGUGGCGAACGGGUGAGUAACACGUGAGUAACCUGCCCUUGACUUUGGGAUAACUUCAGGAAACUGGAGCUAAUACCGGAUAAGAGCUUCUGCUCGAUGGGGGGGGUUGGAAAGGUUGGGCGGUUGGGGGUGGACUCGCGGCUUAUGAGCUUGUUGGUGGGGUAGUGGCUUCCCAAGGCUGUGACGGGUCGCCGGCCUGAGGGGGUGACCAGCCACAGUGGGACUGAGAGACGGCACAGACGCCAACGGGAGGCAGCAGUGGGGAAUAUGGCACAAUGGGCGGAAGUGUGAGGCAGAAGCGCCGCGUGCGGGAUGACGGCCUUCGGGGUAUAAACCGGUUUCGGCUGAGACGAAGCGUGAGUGACGGUAAUGGGUGAAGAAGCACCGGCUAACUACGUG
RNAcentral lists this ribosomal RNA (468 nucleotides) under uncultured bacterium. RNAcentral describes it as "partial 16S ribosomal RNA". It matches the Rfam family "Bacterial small subunit ribosomal RNA", at positions 28 to 507 of the family's 1533-position model. The record is from RNAcentral.